UUUUUCAAGGCAGCUGUCACGCAUCACCCGCAAAUCGCAACGGCAUCAACAUGCGCAGCUUCGUUCUUCGUUUGGCAUUGCUUCUUGUCGUGGUGGCCGUGUUGACAUCGGCUCGACGGGACCAUGGCAGCUACGACUACGACGUUGCUGAAGGGACCAAACCUGUGAGGGGUAGAGCUCAGACCAGGCCUAACCAAUGGGGAUCUCCUCAGCAUACUCAUGCAAGAACUGGACGUCGUUUCAGUAACCUAAAUGCUACUGAAGAAGAGCCUGAACCUGAACCUCACCCAACGCUGCAAGGAGAUGCCGGAGAAGUUCCAGAACCCGAACGUCCUCGUGGUCGGUUCAGGCCUAAGCAUUCGGGGAAUAGGAAUCCUCCAGGAACUGUUAGGAGCCCAAACCCUCCACGUUCUAGGGCUUCACAAAUAACUUACGAAUAAUAUGAAACUAUGCCUGCUUCAUCACAUAUGAUUAACACACUGAACGUGUCUUUUGAGACGUUAAUUACGAAUUUUUUUUAUAAAUAUCAUCCGGCGGUCGUUGUCCCGCGUAAAAACAGCUCCAGCAACGAAGCCACGCAAUACAGCGUAAAUCUUUUAGGUUAAACCAAACUAGAUACAACGAAUUAUCAUAAUCAAAAGCUGAUACUAAUAAUUCAAUGUCAAGAAUACUGUGUUUAGUUCAUUUAUAACAAAAUAUUGUCGAAAUGUUUGAUCUAACCGAAAUAUGACGAAUAGAAACUUUUUUUGAAUCUGAAACAAUAAACUGAGUUUCGCUUCUAGAUUGGAAGGUUCACAUAAUUAUGCCUGAAACACCAAAUAUCGUUUUAGUUAUUUUCCUCCUCCCGUUUAUGUUUUUCGGUUCUUGUUUAUUCAGAUUAAUUGAUUAUAUUUAUAUGGUAAUCAA
Molecule: long non-coding RNA, 906 nt
Organism: Hyalella azteca
Lineage: Eukaryota; Metazoa; Arthropoda; Malacostraca; Amphipoda; Hyalellidae
Exons: 2
Source: RefSeq, a predicted model, not a curated record